UUAUCAGACUUGUUACAAGGUUGUUCUAACAAGUCUGAUACAGUCAUGAUAUAACAAGAAUGUUACAAGGUGGUAACUUACAAUAUUAUUGUAUCAUGACUGUAUCCAACUUGUUGGAACAACUUUGCAACAAGUCUGAUAA
Paramuricea clavata is the source of this 142-nucleotide non-coding RNA. Lineage: Eukaryota; Metazoa; Cnidaria; Anthozoa; Malacalcyonacea; Plexauridae. The record is from the annotation of a GenBank genome assembly.